CCGGCACGGGUGAGUAACACGUAUGGAACCUGCCCUAUGCAGGGGGAUAAGCGGAAGAAAUUCCGUCUAAUACCGCAUAACACCUUUAGGAGACAUCUUCUUGGGGUCAAAGGAGGCGACUCCGGCAUAGGAUGGCCAUGCGUCGCAUUAGCUAGUCGGCGGGGUAACGGCCCACCGAGGCGACGAUGCGUAGGGGUUCUGAGAGGAAGGUCCCCCACACUGGUACUGAGACACGGACCAGACUCCUACGGGAGGCAGCAG
RNAcentral lists this ribosomal RNA (261 nucleotides) under uncultured bacterium. RNAcentral describes it as "partial 16S ribosomal RNA". It matches the Rfam family "Bacterial small subunit ribosomal RNA", at positions 97 to 354 of the family's 1533-position model. The record is from RNAcentral.